UGGGGGGCAAGCGUUGUUCGGAUUUACUGGGCGUAAAGGGCUCGUAGGCGGCCAACUAAGUCGGUUGUGAAAUCCCUCGGCUCAACCGGGGAACUGCGAUCGAUACUGGAUGGCUUGAAGCCGGGAGAGGGAUGCGGAAUUCCAGGUGUAGCGGUGAAAUGCGUAGAUAUCUGGAGGAACACCCGUGGCGAAGGCGGCAUCCUGGACCGGUCUUGACGCUGAGGAGCGAAAGCUAGGGUAGCAAACGGGAUUAGAUACCCCGGGUAGUCCUAGCCCUAAACGAUGAAUGCUUGGUGUGGCGGGUAUCGAUCCCCUGCCGUGCCGCAGCUAACGCGUUAAGCAUUCCGCCUGGGGGAGUACGGUCGCAAGGCUG
Molecule: ribosomal RNA, 373 nt
Filed under: uncultured organism
Description: partial 16S ribosomal RNA
Rfam family: Bacterial small subunit ribosomal RNA
Source: RNAcentral